CUUGCAGGGUACUCGAGUGGCGAACGGGUGAGUAACACGUGGGUGAUCUGCCCUGCACUUCGGGAUAAGCUUGGGAAACUGGGUCUAAUACCGGAUAGGAACCAUCUUUAGUGUGGUGGUUGGAAAGUUUUUUCGGUGUAGGAUGAGCUCGCGGCCUAUCAGCUUGUUGGUGGGGUAAUGGCCUACCAAGGCGGCGACGGGUAGCCGGCCUGAGAGGGUGUACGGCCACAUUGGGACUGAGAUACGGCCCAG
This 252-nucleotide ribosomal RNA is filed under the name uncultured Actinomycetales bacterium. RNAcentral describes it as "partial 16S ribosomal RNA". It matches the Rfam family "Bacterial small subunit ribosomal RNA", at positions 79 to 334 of the family's 1533-position model. The record is from RNAcentral. Lineage: Bacteria; Bacillati; Actinomycetota; Actinomycetes; Actinomycetales.